This 20-nucleotide transfer RNA is filed under the name Acanthophis antarcticus (death adder). Its description in RNAcentral is "partial tRNA-His". The record is from RNAcentral. RNAcentral also lists the same sequence under 4 other names. Lineage: Eukaryota; Metazoa; Chordata; Lepidosauria; Squamata; Elapidae.
UGUGUGUAGUUUAAAAAAAA